RNAcentral lists this ribosomal RNA (26 nucleotides) under Rhytidium rugosum. Its description in RNAcentral is "partial 25S ribosomal RNA". Lineage: Eukaryota; Viridiplantae; Streptophyta; Bryopsida; Hypnales; Rhytidiaceae. The record is from RNAcentral.
CAGACGUAUCUCGGCAAAUCCCUGAG